UUAGCUCAUAUUUGUAUGGAAUGGGAUCGUUUGCGUACGUUUGCCGCUAGGGGCGCUGUUCCGACUGCAUACAAAAUUGGGUUA
This 84-nucleotide microRNA precursor is filed under the name Bombyx mori (domestic silkworm). RNAcentral's name for it is "mir-2807 microRNA precursor family". It matches the Rfam family "mir-2807 microRNA precursor family". The record is from Rfam by way of RNAcentral. Lineage: Eukaryota; Metazoa; Arthropoda; Insecta; Lepidoptera; Bombycidae.